AUAUAUGUUGGUUUUUUU
This 18-nucleotide microRNA is filed under the name Zea mays. RNAcentral describes it as "microRNA miR-3237". Lineage: Eukaryota; Viridiplantae; Streptophyta; Magnoliopsida; Poales; Poaceae. The record is from RNAcentral.